Molecule: long non-coding RNA, 1310 nt
Filed under: Sinocyclocheilus anshuiensis
Lineage: Eukaryota; Metazoa; Chordata; Actinopteri; Cypriniformes; Cyprinidae
Description: lncRNA (ENSSANG00000046864.1)
Source: RNAcentral
UGUGUCUGUCUCACCAUCUGCCUAAAAAAAGCAUUUGUCUGUCUGUCUCUCUGUCUGCCUAAAAAAAGUAUCUGUCUGUCUGUCUGCUUAAAAAAGUGUUUGUCUGUCUCUCACCGUCUACCUGUCCGUCCGUCUAAAAAAAGUAUUUUCUGUCUGUCUAUCUAAAAAAAAGUAUCUGUCUGCCUAUAACGGUAUCUGUCUGUCUGUCUCUGUCUGCUUAAAAAUGUGUUUGUCUGCCUGUCUCACCAUCUGCCUGUCCGUCUGUCUAAAAAAAGUAUUUGUCUGUCUGUCUGUCUAAAAACAGUAUCUGUCUCUCUGUCUGUCUGUCUGCUUAAAAAAAAGUUUGUUUGUCUGUCUGUCUGUCUCUGUCUGCCUAAAAACAGUAUCCGUCUGUCUGUCUGUCUGUCUGUUUCACUGUCUGCCUGUCUGUCUGUCUGUCUGUCUCUCAGUCUGCUUAAAAAAAGUGUUUGUUUGUCUCUCACCGUCUGCCUCUCCGUCUGUCUCAAAAAGUAUCUGUCUGUCUGUCUCUGUCUGCCUAAAAACCGUAUCUGUCUGUCUGUCUCUGUCUGCCUAAAAACCGUAUCUGUCUGUCUGUCUCUCUGUCUGCUUAAAAAUGUGUUUGUCUGCCUGUCUCACCGUCUGCCUGUCCGUCUGUCUAAAAACAGUAUCUGUCUCUCUGUCUGUCUGUCUGUCUCUGUCUGCUUAAAAAAAAAGUUUGUUUGUCUGUCUGUCUGUCUGUCUGUCUCUGUCUGCCUAAAAACAGUAUCCGUACGUCUGUCUGUCUGUCUGUCUGUCUCACCGUUUGCCUGUCUGUCUCUCUCUGUCUGCCUAAAAACAGUAUCCGUACGUCUGUCUGUCUGUCUCACCGUCUGUCUGUCUCAAAAACUAUCUGUGUGUCUGUCUGUCUCUGUCUGCCUAAAAACAGUGUCUGUCUGUCGUCUGUCUGUCUGUCUGCUUAAAAAAGUGUUUGUCUGUCUGUCUAAAAAGAGUAUCUGUCUCUCUGUCUGCUUAAAAAAGUGUUUGUUUGUUUGUCUGUCUGUCUGUCUCUGUCUGCCUAAAAAAAGUAUUUGUCUUUGUCUCUCCAUCUGUCUAAAAAAAAGCAUCCGUCUCUCUGUCUGUCCAUUAAAAGUAUCUGUUUGUCCAUCUGAAAAAAGUGUCUGUCUGAAAAAGUAUCUGUUUGUCUCUUCAUUUGUCUGAAUAAGUAUGUCUAUCCAUCUGAGAAAAAAAGUCUUACUGUCUAAAAAGUGUCUGUCUGAAACAAAAGAUCAAAAGAACAAGUUUGUCUGUCCAUCUGAAAAAGUGUCUGUCCG